UACAUGGGGUGCAAACGUUGCUCGGAAUUAUUGGGCGUAAAGCGCACGUAGGCGGUUUGUUAAGUCGGAUGUGAAAUCCCUCGGCUCAACUGAGGAAGUGCACCCGAAACUGGCAGGCUUGAGUACUAAAGAGGGUCGCGGAAUUCCCGGUGUAGAGGUGAAAUGCGUAGAGAUGUGGAGGAACACCGAUGGCGAAGGCAGCCUCCUGGGCUAGUACUGACGCUCAUGCACGAAAGCGUGGGGAGCAAACAGG
Molecule: ribosomal RNA, 253 nt
Filed under: uncultured bacterium
Lineage: Bacteria
Description: partial 16S ribosomal RNA
Rfam family: Bacterial small subunit ribosomal RNA
Source: RNAcentral